GAUGAAGAACGUAGCGAAAUGCGAUACCUGGUGUGAAUUGCAGAAUCCCGCGAACCAUCGAGUCUUUGAACGCAAGUUGCGCCCGAGGCCACCCGGCCGAGGGCACGCCUGCCUGGGCGUCACGCCAAAACACGCUCCCACCCCCCCUCACCGGGGGAGCGGGACGCGGCGUCUGGCCCCCCGUGCCGCGAGGCGCGGUGGGCCGAAGAUCGGGUUGCCGGCGUACCGUGCCGGGCACAGCGCGUGGUGGAUCUCUACUCGGCGCAGUGCACCCGGCGCGUAGCCGGCGCAGCGGCCCCUAAGGACCCAACGAACGGAGCGCGAGCCGCUCCGACCGCGACCCCAGGUCAGGCGGGACUACCCGCUGAGUUUAAGCAUAUCAAUAAGCGGAGGA
Molecule: unclassified non-coding RNA, 394 nt
Filed under: soil metagenome
Description: partial contains 5.8S ribosomal RNA, internal transcribed spacer 2, and large subunit ribosomal RNA
Rfam family: 5.8S ribosomal RNA (bases 1-122)
Source: RNAcentral